Salvelinus namaycush (lake trout) is the source of this 238-nucleotide long non-coding RNA. RefSeq lists it as uncharacterized. The transcript has 3 exons. NCBI's taxonomy places the organism in Eukaryota, Metazoa, Chordata, Actinopteri, Salmoniformes, Salmonidae. The record is from RefSeq and is a predicted model, not a curated record.
GCAAGUUUUUUUCUCCUGGGGCAUGCUUGGUGAUAGAUGGAAAGGACAUAUUCCUAUCGUUAAAAGAUAUAGGUCCUGGUUAGCCCUGACCAUUAUCCGAUCGCUAAGACGCUUGCACACUCCCUCAAAGCUCCAUACAGGGGCCUGGUAUAGCCAUCCACCAUUAUCCGUGUCCAAUUCCCCUUCAAACUGCCUGGCUCUCUUGCACGGUCCAUCAAAACUCCGUAAGUUUUCCCUC